UAGGUGUCAUCAUCCCAUGCCUCCUAAUACAGAUUUGAAUGUGGGCCAAACUUGCAAAUAUAUUCUUUCCCACUUUGAAUAUAGAACUUAAAGCUUUUCAUCAUGACCUGAGACUAAUUAAAUUAAACUUAUUUAAGGCGCAAUUUCCUUCCACUCAAAGAAAAGUUAUAAAAUUGUCAGUUUUCAGUUUAACACCAAGAUAUUAAGAGUCAAGACAGCAGCCCACAUAUUUCUUCCAGAAGCUAAAGGACCAGCAGUAAGUAGCAGCUUUUUUCAUUUCACUUUAUUUAGACAGCAAAAGUGCAGUAUAUCCACCUAAAAGCAAAA
This 327-nucleotide unclassified non-coding RNA is filed under the name Hevea brasiliensis (rubber tree). The record is from RNAcentral. Lineage: Eukaryota; Viridiplantae; Streptophyta; Magnoliopsida; Malpighiales; Euphorbiaceae.